Molecule: ribosomal RNA, 497 nt
Filed under: uncultured bacterium
Lineage: Bacteria
Description: partial 16S ribosomal RNA
Rfam family: Bacterial small subunit ribosomal RNA
Source: RNAcentral
GAUGAACGCUGGCGGCGUGCCUAAUACAUGCAAGUCGAGCGAACGGACGAGAAGCUUGCUUCUCUGAUGUUAGCGGCGGACGGGUGAGUAACACGUGGAUAACCUACCUAUAAGACUGGGAUAACUUCGGGAAACCGGAGCUAAUACCGGAUAAUAUUAUGAACCGCAUGGUUCAAAAGUGAAAGACGGUCUUGCUGUCACUUAUAGAUGGAUCCGCGCUGCAUUAGCUAGUUGGUAAGGUAACGGCUUACCAAGGCAACGAUGCAUAGCCGACCUGAGAGGGUGAUCGGCCACACUGGAACUGAAACACGGUCCAGACUCCUACGGGAGGCAGCAGUAGGGAAUCUUCCGCAAUGGGCGAAAGCCUGACGGAGCAACGCCGCGUGAGUGAUGAAGGUCUUCGGAUCGUAAAACUCUGUUAUUAGGGAAGAACAUAUGUGUAAGUAACUGUGCACAUCUUGACGGUACCUAAUCAGAAAGCCACGGCUAACUACGUG